This 475-nucleotide ribosomal RNA is filed under the name uncultured organism. RNAcentral's name for it is "partial 16S ribosomal RNA". It matches the Rfam family "Bacterial small subunit ribosomal RNA", at positions 332 to 798 of the family's 1533-position model. The record is from RNAcentral.
UACACUCCUGCGGGAGGCAGCAGUGGGGAAUUUUGGACAAUGGGCGAAAGCCUGAUCCAGCAAUGCCGCGUGAGUGAAGAAGGCCUUCGGGUUGUAAAGCUCUUUUGUCAGGGAAGAAACGGUGAAAGCUAAUAUCUUUUGCUAAUGACGGUACCUGAAGAAUAAGCACCGGCUAACUACGUGCCAGCAGCCGCGGUAAUACGUAGGGUGCAAGCGUUAAUCGGAAUUACUGGGCGUAAAGCGUGCGCAGGCGGUUUUGUAAGUCUGAUGUGAAAUCCCCGGGCUCAACCUGGGAAUUGCAUUGGAGACUGCAAGGCUAGAAUCUGGCAGAGGGGGGUAGAAUUCCACGUGUAGCAGUGAAAUGCGUAGAUAUGUGGAGGAACACCGAUGGCGAAGGCAGCCCCCUGGGUCAAGAUUGACGCUCAUGCACGAAAGCGUGGGGAGCAAACAGGAUUAGAAACCCCAGUAGUCCCAU